UGGGGCGUGUGGUGCCUCGUCGCGGGCUGUAAAGGAGCGAACUUCGGCAGCCUACUAAGGCCCCGGUGUGGGACUUGAGUGCAGGAAACCCCUGAGCCUUCCCAGACCCCCGCUUCCCGAUUCCCUCGCCGGGAUGGGGCGGGAGAGCACUCGCCAGGUGCUCCACGUUGGCUACGACUCCCUGCCCUCAGCCUCCCUGCUCUCAGCGUGGCCUAAAUUCGCUUCCAGCCCUGGAGAGAAUCUUAGCAAAUAAACUAGGGGCCUGUUUACAAAAUUUACCAUUGCCAAAGCGACUGCAAUGCACGAGGCGCUUUGGGUGAAAUAGAAGAGGCGGCAUUGUCCCCGUUUGACGGAAGAGGAAACUGAGGCUCGGGCGCGCGACCAGAACCAGGCCUUUCCUGUUGCUGAUCUCAGCCCCUGCACCGGGUGGCCGUUCUAUGCUCCUGCAGCCCCAGCGGCCCGGCCCUUUCGCUCACACGCUCCUCCGCCCCCUUUGGAAGUCCGUUACCCUCCAGCGUUUCAGACCCAGUUUAACCUGAGGAAAAUCUAGAGUCUGCGCUCUAGACAAGCGAUGGCACAUAACCAGUGCGGGAAGCAGCCCCAAGGUACGGCGCCUUGGACCCUGAGGAAGCACCAGAAGCAGCAAGCCUUUCUGACCUUCUCUUGUUCCUUCUACCCUGAAGCAGGUCAUAGAAACUGGGCCAUAAAACCUAGGAAGGUCACUCUGACCUUCUCCCCUGAAGACUCUUACGGGACAGAUGUCCUUCCAUAUCCAAAAGGAAAGGAUCUCACAAACAGUGCCAAGAAUUAAAUCAAUAGGCCUUGCUAAGUUCCUCCUAGUAUAUUACCAUUUUUAUAUUACUUUUUGUCUUCUGAUCAUAGUUUUGCAUGACAGCCCAUCAAAACACGAAUCUUCUGUUUCUUAAGGACUUCAUUUCUGAAGGCUUUCUUGUCAUAAAACUUGGGUUAAAUACAUUUUUGUGAUUUUC
This is a non-coding RNA of Heterocephalus glaber (naked mole-rat), 989 nucleotides long. The record is from RefSeq and is a predicted model, not a curated record. Lineage: Eukaryota; Metazoa; Chordata; Mammalia; Rodentia; Bathyergidae.